UACGUAGGGUGCGAGCGUUGUCCGGAAUUAUUGGGCGUAAAGAGCUCGUAGGCGGUGUGUCGCGUCGGCCGUGAAAACCUGGGGCUUAACUCUGGGCGUGCGGUCGAUACGGGCAUCACUAGAGUUCGGCAGGGGAGACUGGAAUUCCUGGUGUAGCGGUGAAAUGCGCAGAUAUCAGGAGGAACACCGGUGGCGAAGGCGGGUCUCUGGGCAACAACUGACGCUGAGGAGCGAAAGCGUGGGGAGCGAACAGG
RNAcentral lists this ribosomal RNA (254 nucleotides) under uncultured bacterium. RNAcentral describes it as "partial 16S ribosomal RNA". It matches the Rfam family "Bacterial small subunit ribosomal RNA", at positions 524 to 776 of the family's 1533-position model. The record is from RNAcentral.